RNAcentral lists this microRNA precursor (76 nucleotides) under Poecilia formosa (Amazon molly). RNAcentral's name for it is "miRNA (ENSPFOG00000021344.1)". The record is from RNAcentral. Lineage: Eukaryota; Metazoa; Chordata; Actinopteri; Cyprinodontiformes; Poeciliidae.
GGUCCUGGUCCUGGUUCUGGUCCUGGUCCUGGUCCUGGUUCUGGUCCUGGUCCUGGUCCUGGUUCUGGUCCUGGUC